RNAcentral lists this ribosomal RNA (460 nucleotides) under uncultured bacterium. RNAcentral's name for it is "partial 16S ribosomal RNA". It matches the Rfam family "Bacterial small subunit ribosomal RNA", at positions 338 to 795 of the family's 1533-position model. The record is from RNAcentral.
CCUACGGGUGGCAGCAGUGAGGAAUAUUGGUCAAUGGGCGCAAGCCUGAACCAGCCAAGUCGCGUGAGGGAUGACGGUCCUAUGGAUUGUAAACCUCUUUUGUCGGGGAGCAAGGCCCGCCACGUGUGGCGGGAAGGAGAGUACCCGCAGAAAAAGCAUCGGCUAACUCCGUGCCAGCAGCCGCGUUAAUACGGAGGAUGCGAGCGUUAUCCGGAUUAUUGGGGUUAAAAGGGUGCGUAGGCGGAAGGUUAAGUCAGCGGUAAAAUGUCGGUGCUCAACACCGGCCUGCCGUUGAAACUGGUCGUCUUGAGUGAGCGAGAAGUAUGCGGAAUGCGUGGUGUAGCGGUGAAAUGCAUAGAGAUCACGCAGAACUCCGAUUGCGAAGGCAGCAUACCGGCGCUCAACUGACGCUGAGGCACGAAAGCGUGGGGAUCGAACAGGAUUAGAUACCCUGGUAGUC